RNAcentral lists this ribosomal RNA (444 nucleotides) under uncultured Bacteroidota bacterium. RNAcentral describes it as "bacterial SSU rRNA". It matches the Rfam family "Bacterial small subunit ribosomal RNA", at positions 917 to 1359 of the family's 1533-position model. Lineage: Bacteria; Pseudomonadati; Bacteroidota. The record is from RNAcentral.
GGGCCCGCACAAGCGGAGGAACAUGUGGUUUAAUUCGAUGAUACGCGAGGAACCUUACCCGGGUUUGAACGCAUUUGGACCGACCAGGAAACUGGUUUUCUAGCAAUAGUCAUUUGCGAGGUGCUGCAUGGUUGUCGUCAGCUCGUGCCGUGAGGUGUCGGCUUAAGUGCCAUAACGAGCGCAACCCUUAUUGUUAGUUACCAUCAGGUAGUGCUGGGGACUCUAACAAGACUGCCAGCGUAAGCUGUGAGGAAGGUGGGGAUGACGUCAAAUCAGCACGGCCCUUACAUCCGGGGCGACACACGUGUUACAAUGGCGUGGACAAAAGAGCAGCCAAACGGGCGACCGUGAGCUAAUCUCCAAACCACGUCUCAGUUCGGAUCGGAGUCUGCAACUCGACUCCGUGAAGCUGGAUUCGCUAGUAAUCGCGCAUCAGCCAUGGCG